AGUCGAGGGGCAGCAUGGUCUUAGCUUGCUAAGGCCGAUGGCGACCGGCGCACGGGUGAGUAACACGUAUCCAACCUGCCGUCUACUCUUGGACAGCCUUCUGAAAGGAAGAUUAAUACAAGAUGGCAUCAUGAGUCCGCAUGUUCACAUGAUUAAAGGUAUUCCGGUAGACGAUGGGGAUGCGUUCCAUUAGAUAGUAGGCGGGGUAACGGCCCACCUAGUCUUCGAUGGAUAGGGGUUCUGAGAGGAAGGUCCCCCACAUUGGAACUGAGACACGGUCCAAACUCCUACGGGAGGCAGCAGUGAGGAAUAUUGGUCAAUGGGCGAGAGCCUGAACCAGCCAAGUAGCGUGAAGGAUGACUGCCCUAUGGGUUGUAAACUUCUUUUAUAAAGGAAUAAAGUCGGGUAUGGAUACCCGUUUGCAUGUACUUUAUGAAUAAGGAUCGGCUAACUCCGUGCCAGCAGCCGCGGUAAUACGGAGGAUCCGAGCGUUAUCCGGAUUUAUUGGGUUUAAAGGGAGCGUAGAUGGAUGUUUAAGUCAGUUGUGAAAGUUUGCGGCUCAACCGUAAAAUUGCAGUUGAUACUGGAUAUCUUG
RNAcentral lists this ribosomal RNA (595 nucleotides) under uncultured bacterium. RNAcentral's name for it is "bacterial SSU rRNA". It matches the Rfam family "Bacterial small subunit ribosomal RNA", at positions 60 to 644 of the family's 1533-position model. The record is from RNAcentral.